GACAGAGGGUGCAAACGUUGUUCGGAAUUACUGGGCGUAAAGCGCGUGUAGGCGGCUAUGCAAGUCGGAUGUGAAAGCCCUCGGCUCAACCGGGGAAGUGCACCCGAAACUGCAAAGCUAGAGUCUCGGAGAGGAUCGUGGAAUUCUCGGUGUAGAGGUGAAAUUCGUAGAUAUCGAGAGGAACACCGGUGGCGAAGGCGGCCACCUGGACGGUAACUGACGCUGAGACGCGAAAGCGUGGGUAGCAAACAGG
This 253-nucleotide ribosomal RNA is filed under the name uncultured bacterium. Its description in RNAcentral is "partial 16S ribosomal RNA". It matches the Rfam family "Bacterial small subunit ribosomal RNA", at positions 524 to 776 of the family's 1533-position model. The record is from RNAcentral.